GAUGAACGCUGGCGGCGUGCCUAAUACAUGCAAGUCGAGCGAACAGACGAGGAGCUUGCUCCUCUGACGUUAGCGGCGGACGGGUGAGUAACACGUGGAUAACCUACCUAUAAGACUGGGAUAACUUCGGGAAACCGGAGCUAAUACCGGAUAAUAUAUUGAACCGCAUGGUUCAAUAGUGAAAGACGGUUUUGCUGUCACUUAUAGAUGGAUCCGCGACGCAUUAGCUAGUUGGUAAGGUAACGGCUUACCAAGGCGACGAUGCGUAGCCGACCUGAGAGGGUGAUCGGCCACACUGGAACUGAGACACGGUCCAGACUCCUACGGGAGGCAGCAGUAGGGAAUCUUCCGCAAUGGGCGAAAGCCUGACGGAGCAACGCCACGUGAGUGAUGAAGGUCUUCGGAUCGUAAAACUCUGUUAUUAGGGAAGAACAAAUGUGUAAGUAACUAUGCACGUCUUGACGGUACCUAAUCAGAAAGCCACGGCUAACUACGUG
This 497-nucleotide ribosomal RNA is filed under the name uncultured bacterium. RNAcentral's name for it is "partial 16S ribosomal RNA". It matches the Rfam family "Bacterial small subunit ribosomal RNA", at positions 28 to 507 of the family's 1533-position model. The record is from RNAcentral.